CGACUUGUAGUGAAAUUGGUUAUCACACUGAACUUUGACUUCAGUAUUUCAGGUUCAAAUCCUGACAGGUCUGCCA
RNAcentral lists this transfer RNA (76 nucleotides) under compost metagenome. RNAcentral describes it as "tRNA-Gln". It matches the Rfam family "tRNA". From Rfam's summary of the family: Transfer RNA (tRNA) molecules are approximately 80 nucleotides in length. Their secondary structure includes four short double-helical elements and three loops (D, anti-codon, and T loops). The record is from RNAcentral.